AAGAGCUUCAAUCAAGUUGGUUCCACUUGCAUUAGAUCAAAAAAACAUUCUAUUUAAUAACAAAAUUUAUCCCAUUGCAUUUACACUUGAUUAGGUUAGAAAUUUGAUAGAUUUACUAGCUCACUAGUUCUCGAAUUUUUUAUUUUUAGACUAGUAAUUUUCCAUUAUUUAAUAAAUAUUUUCCAAUGUAUAGAUGAAUUUGUGGAUAGAUGUAGAAAAUAAUGUGUGUUGUUGUAGGAGUUUCUACAUUGUAGGGAGACCUCAUCUCAUUUGCCUCAUCCAAGCCUCAUCCACCCAUGUCGUCAAAAUCCACUAAAAUCUCAAUUUGAAUUCUCGUUUUAUAAGCAAGAAUUGCCAUUUCCAUUGAGAAAAUCUACCCAUCUUGAAUCCCUUGCUUGAGUUCUGGGUAGUUUCCACCACCUCCAUGUCUUAUUUUUGCAUUAUCCACCUUUACCAAGCUCCAUUCCACCUUCUAGACCACUUCAUAAGCUUUCGGCCUGUUUUUUGUAGUAAAACGGUGGAUCCUGUAGACAUCCUGUAGGCACUAGUAGAUCCUGUAGGAAAUCUUAUAGUGGCAUGUUUUGAGCCAGAAUUGAGAAAAAUAAUAAUUUAAGUUAGGCUUAGGCCUCUACUUGACCUCCAAGCCAUCAAAACCAUUGUACCCCUCUCCGUCCACACCUGUGUACCCCUCUUCUCACUGAUGUGCCAAGUGAAAGUUAUGACAACUUUCCCAAAUCUUAUUGAUUUUGGCAUUUUCCUAGUAGAAAAUUUUAUAAAACACCACAUGUUCAACUAUUUAUAUCUAAUUCUAAAAUAUUUACCAAAGUAACUUCAGUAUGUCUCCUGAGAUCUAAGAAAAUUUCAUAGUGUGAAGUGUUGAUCUAGAUAUUUUACCUCAAGGAUGCAUAUAGAAUUGUAUUUAAAAUAACAUGUAACCAUAUGAUGCAUACACAUAAAAGAAGUAGAAAUAAAAUGCAACAAUGGGAAACAAAGGCACAAAAACGAGUUGAUAAUGGAUUUCACCCAGUGUGGUUUACGUCUUUAGGCCCUGAUCAAUGUGGGGAGGCUUCUUUCAUAAAUCUUCAUUUAAAUCAAAUUACAUGCAAGUACAAAGACACCUUAUACUUCCACUGUCGGGGAAGUCCUAAAAAUGCAGACCUCUGCUGAAGAAACAAACUGUAUGGCGGAAUUCCAGGAAAAAAAUCGUGAAAAAUGACUAUAAACUUGACCCUAUUCUGUGUUGGUGACCUCUGGGGCUCUAGGGAAUCUUUUAGAUUCCUUACAAGAUUCUCUAUGAAUAUUCCAAAGAUUUCAAAGAACCUUUCUCGAAAAACGUGCCUUGGCAGGGCACAGUUCUAGUUGUGUUGGGUUCUGUAGAUUAUGAUUCUGUCUCUGUUAGGUUACGACUCUCCUCCCCCGACGCAAAUGAAUGACCCCUAUAUAUAUAAUUUAGUGGGCAGAUAAUGAAUGACCCCUAUUGUUACUCCUGUCGUUUACUCUCUUAAGGUAGCCAAAUGCCUCGUCAUUUAAUUAGUGAUGUGCAUGAAUGGAUUAACGAGAUUCCCACUGUCCCUAUCUACUAUCUAACGAAACCACAGCCAAGGGAACGGGCUUGGCAGAAUCAGCGGGGAAAGAAGACCCUGUUGAGCUUGACUCUAGUCCGACUUUGUGACAUGACUAGAGAGGUGUAGAAUAAGUGGGAGCUGUUUUCGGCGCAAGUGAAAUACCACUACUUUUAACGUUAUUUUACUUAUUAUGUGGGGUGGAGAUGGGGCACUGCCCCUGUUUUUGGCCUUAAGGCACGUUUCGGUGGGUCGAUCCAGGCGGAAGACAUUGUCAGGUGGGGAUUUUGGCUGGGGCAUCACAUCUGUUAAGAGAUAACGCAGGUGUCCUAAGAUGAGCUCAACAAGAACAGAAAUCUCGUGUGGAACAAAAGGGUAAAAGCUCAUUUGAUUUUGAUUUUCAGUACGAAUACAAACUGUGAAAGCGUGGCCUAUCUAUCCUUUAGAUUUUUGGAAUUUGAAGCUAGAGGUGUCAGAAAAGUUACCACAAGGAUAACUGGCUUGUGGCAGCCAAGUGUUCAUAGCGACGUUGCUUUUUGAUCCUUCAAUGUUGGCUCUUCCUAUCAUUGUGAAGCAGAAUUCACCAAGUUGGAUUGUUCACCCACCAAUAGGGAACGUGAGCUGGGUUUAGACCGUCAUGAGACAGGUUAGUUUUACCCUACUGAUGAACCACACCGCAAUAGUAAUUCAACUUAGUAUGAGAGGAACCGUUGAUUCACACAAUUGGUCAUCGCGCUUGGUUGAAAAGCCGGUGGCAUGAAGCUAUUGUGUGUCGGAUUAUGACUAAACGCCUCUAAGUCAGAAUCCAUGCUAGAAGCGGUGCAUGUCACUCUUCGACUUUUUCUUGACCCGCAGUAGGGGCGUCGCUUUGUCGCCCCCAGGGGCCCGUGUCAUUUGCAAACCGUGACCGUGAAGCAUCUCAGUCGGGGCAGCUUUGAAUUUCAAUUCCAAACGGUCGUUGAGAAGAAU
Molecule: ribosomal RNA, 2531 nt
Filed under: Pinus taeda (loblolly pine)
Lineage: Eukaryota; Viridiplantae; Streptophyta; Pinopsida; Pinales; Pinaceae
Description: eukaryotic LSU rRNA
Rfam family: Eukaryotic large subunit ribosomal RNA (bases 938-2531)
Source: RNAcentral